AGCAGAUUGCGCUUCCCCUUUUCAACGCCAAAUGAGUUUUUCCAACUUGUUGACUGACAGCGGCGGAGAAAAGGAGCGUCUGCCCAGGAGAUAGAGAAGCGCAGACGGGAACAAUAAUUGAGGACUCGGAGUUUCCAAACUCCAGGUCCAGAGACGAGAUGGGGUCCGCUACGUCAUUUUGUGGCUGAAGGAAAACAUGUCUUCAUAAAAUCUGGACUUUCUUUCUGGAGUAAUGGUGCUGACCGUCGAUUUCGCCAUGCCUUACUUCUUCGAUGGCUCAGAAACACACACACCAAAAUCGUAUUCGGCUAUCAAAUCCUUCUUGAAGUCGACAGUUUUACUCACCACUUUCCUUUUUUCAGCACCGGCAGUUCCAUUUGCCUUCUUUGGAGCCAUGAUUGGGGGUUAAUAUUGCUCAAUUGGAAGAAGUCACUACCGGGACAUGUCUGCAUACAGAGGAGUGUGUGGGUCAACUGGUUGCGUCGCCCGCGUUACGUCAUUUCCAUUUUUUUUCGGGGGUGCGUUCGAAAGCACAAAUCGUCGUGGGUCACCUGGUCAGGGCGUUCGAAUACCAAUUUUCGUUUGGAAACCAAAGGGAAAAAAAAAAAAAAAAAUCCCAAAAUUUUCAUUCAAAAACUGAUUUGUUCGAAAAC
Molecule: long non-coding RNA, 653 nt
Organism: Syngnathoides biaculeatus (alligator pipefish)
Lineage: Eukaryota; Metazoa; Chordata; Actinopteri; Syngnathiformes; Syngnathidae
Exons: 3
Source: RefSeq, a predicted model, not a curated record